Molecule: transfer RNA, 85 nt
Filed under: Alphaproteobacteria bacterium
Lineage: Bacteria; Pseudomonadati; Pseudomonadota; Alphaproteobacteria
Description: tRNA-Leu
Rfam family: tRNA
About the family: Transfer RNA (tRNA) molecules are approximately 80 nucleotides in length. Their secondary structure includes four short double-helical elements and three loops (D, anti-codon, and T loops).
Source: RNAcentral
GCGGGUAUGGUGGAAUUGGCAGACACGCUGGAUUUAGGUUCCAGUGAUGAAAAUCGUGGGGGUUCAAGUCCCUCUACCCGCACCA